GAUGAACGCUGGCGGCGUGCCUAAUACAUGCAAGUCGAGCGAACAGAUAAGGAGCUUGCUCCUUUGACGUUAGCGGCGGACGGGUGAGUAACACGUGGGUAACCUACCUAUAAGACUGGAAUAACUCCGGGAAACCGGGGCUAAUGCCGGAUAACAUUUAGAACCGCAUGGUUCUAAAGUGAAAGAUGGUUUUGCUAUCACUUAUAGAUGGACCCGCGCCGUAUUAGCUAGUUGGUAAGGUAUCGGCUUACCAAGGCAACGAUACGUAGCCGACCUGAGAGGGUGAUCGGCCACACUGGAACUGAGACACGGUCCAGACUCCUACGGGAGGCAGCAGUAGGGAAUCUUCCGCAAAGGGCGAAAGCCUGACGGAGCAACGCCGCGUGAGUGAUGAAGGUCUUCGGAUCGUAAAACUCUGUUAUUAGGGAAGAACAAAUGUGUAAGUAACUGUGCACGUCUUGACGGUACCUAAUCAGAAAGCCACGGCUAACUACGUG
This 497-nucleotide ribosomal RNA is filed under the name uncultured bacterium. RNAcentral's name for it is "partial 16S ribosomal RNA". It matches the Rfam family "Bacterial small subunit ribosomal RNA", at positions 28 to 507 of the family's 1533-position model. The record is from RNAcentral.